This is a long non-coding RNA of Medicago truncatula (barrel medic), 555 nucleotides long. RefSeq lists it as uncharacterized. The transcript is spliced from 2 exons. Lineage: Eukaryota; Viridiplantae; Streptophyta; Magnoliopsida; Fabales; Fabaceae. The record is from RefSeq and is a predicted model, not a curated record.
AAAUCUUCAAACAAUGUUAUAUUACUUAUAUGCAAAAGUGAAAAAAUGGAUGAAAUUCUUAAGCUUGUAUAUAGGGUGAUAUUUUUUGUUUUCUUAUAUCUUGUUAUAUCCGAUAGUCAAAGAACUUGUUCUAAUUUCCUUGAGUGUUAUAAAAUAUAUGGGAUUCCUCUUGAUGGGGUUUGGAGGUGCGUCAAAGGUUUUUGUGAAUUACUUAUAGAUUUCAAUACAUAUAAAGUGAGAGAAGUUGCUAUUGUGAGAGGUGAGAAUAUAAAUUAGAACAUGACAUUUAAUUGAUCGGUUGAGAUCUAAUUUUCAUAUAAAAAGUCAAUUUCAUGCAUGUAACUUUUUGUUCAAUAGCCAUCAUCAAACCUCAACACUGAUCAUGUAAGAAUUAGUUGUUGUAGGUUCGACCAUCAGCACCUCAAGUGAAUAGCCCAUAUAAAAGAUAAAAUAAUAAAAAAAAAUAAAAAAUCUUUUGUUCAAUUCACAACAUCACAUAUUCUAAUUACAGAUUGGGUGUAAAAUUUCCACCAUAAUAAUCAUUUUUUUUGUACA